CCGGUAAGUCGUCUCAGUUUGAGACGACGACGACCUGCUGCAGAAGCGCCCGAUGAAGUCGUACCAGCACGAAGAGCACGAAUCGAGGCCGUACAGAAUAUUCCGCGUAACCAGCGGAACAUACCCUUGAUCAUAUUAUCACCCGACGAUGAUUCGCAGGAAAUCGCAGCUUUUCGUGUACCCAGUCCAGCUGAAGAAGAAUAUCACGAUAUUUCGCCACGAG
This is a long non-coding RNA of Trachymyrmex cornetzi, 223 nucleotides long. RefSeq lists it as uncharacterized. The record is from RefSeq and is a predicted model, not a curated record. The transcript has 3 exons. Lineage: Eukaryota; Metazoa; Arthropoda; Insecta; Hymenoptera; Formicidae.